CACUCCUGCGGGAGGCAGCAGUGGGGAAUAUUGGACAAUGGGCGCAAGCCUGAUCCAGCCAUGCCGCGUGAGUGAUGAAGGCCCUAGGGUUGUAAAGCUCUUUCACCGGUGAAGAUAAUGACGGUAACCGGAGAAGAAGCCCCGGCUAACUUCGUGCCAGCAGCCGCGGUAAUACGAAGGGGGCUAGCGUUGUUCGGAUUUACUGGGCGUAAAGCGCACGUAGGCGGACUAUUAAGUCAGGGGUGAAAUCCCGGGGCUCAACCCCGGAACUGCCUUUGAUACUGGUAGUCUUGAGUUCGCGAGAGGUGAGUGGAAUUCCGAGUGUAGAGGUGAAAUUCGUAGAUAUUCGGAGGAACACCAGUGGCGAAGGCGGCUCACUGGCUCGAUACUGACGCUGAGGUGCGAAAGCGUGGGGAGCAAACAGGAUUAGAAACCCUAGUAGUCCCA
This 447-nucleotide ribosomal RNA is filed under the name uncultured organism. RNAcentral describes it as "partial 16S ribosomal RNA". It matches the Rfam family "Bacterial small subunit ribosomal RNA", at positions 334 to 797 of the family's 1533-position model. The record is from RNAcentral.